Molecule: small nucleolar RNA, 111 nt
Filed under: Myotis lucifugus (little brown bat)
Lineage: Eukaryota; Metazoa; Chordata; Mammalia; Chiroptera; Vespertilionidae
Description: Small nucleolar RNA SNORA75 (ENSMLUG00000024367.1)
Source: RNAcentral
CACGUAAUAAUUAGCAAAAGAGAUUCGCAUGAGAAGAAGAGAUAAUGCACAGAACUAGCAUUAUUUUGUCUUCUGUUUUCACAGAGGUAUAUUCUGUUUUGUGAGACAUUC